This 431-nucleotide ribosomal RNA is filed under the name uncultured bacterium. Its description in RNAcentral is "partial 16S ribosomal RNA". It matches the Rfam family "Bacterial small subunit ribosomal RNA", at positions 338 to 795 of the family's 1533-position model. The record is from RNAcentral.
CCUACGGGUGGCAGCAGUAAGGAAUAUUGGUCAAUGGGCGGAAGCCUGAACCAGCCAUGCCGCGUGCAGGAAGACGGCCUACGGGUUGUAAACUGCUUUUGUACUGGAAUAUGUACAGUAAGAAUAAGGAUCGGCUAACUCCGUGCCAGCAGCCGCGGUAAUACGGAGGAUCCAAGCGUUAUCCGGAUUUAUUGGGUUUAAAGGGUGCGUAGGUGGUUCAUUAAGUCAGGGGUGAAAGACGGCAGCUUAACUGUCGCAGUGCCUUUGAUACUGAUGAACUUGAAUGAACUAGAGGUAGGCGGAAUGUGACAAGUAGCGGUGAAAUGCAUAGAUAUGUCACAGAACACCAAUUGCGAAGGCAGCUUACUAUGUUGAUUGACACUGAGGCACGAAAGCGUGGGGAUCAAACAGGAUUAGAUACCCUUGUAGUC